AUCAAAAUUGACGAAAUUAAAAAUAUUGUAACAACACAAAAAAUUAUGAUUUUGAUAGCACAUCUUAUGUGUACACCCAUUGUAGUCACACAAAGAAAAAUGAUACUGGCUAUACACUCAUAUCCACAAGCUCUUUUGCAUGAACUUUCACUGAAAGAGGUUUUGCUACCAAAUGUGGGUCAAGUUAGAAAAACUUUUGUGCAAACGAUAUCUCGUUCGCUGGAUAAAAGACGCUGGAAAUAGGUCGAAGACAUUCUUCUUCUAAUAUCUCGUUGAUCUGGAGAAGUUGGCGAGAACUUUCGCUGAUAUCCGGUCUCGACUGGACUUCCGGUAUUCACAGUAGGCAGACCGAGACCGUGCGUCAGUCUCCGACGAAUGUCGUGAUUCAACCUCGCUCCGUUUACGUCUCAUUGUAGCUCUCUCGGACGAUGAUUAAGAAAAAAAGAAAGUCGUGUGCCUAACCUAACCUAUGCCAAACGGACGGACCUUCGCCCACGGAUCUACUUUCUUGAGAAAUUACUGGAAUCUAAUGAUGGAAUCAGGUGACGACCAAACCGACGAGACUAGCAAAGGAUUUUGGUGAAAGCCGACGACCCCAAGAGGGGAGAGUAUAUAGGCUGCGUUUCGUUUCUGGCUUUGUGAACGACGUCUAAGCAACGCAAGAAACUACGAGCUGCGACGACCGAAUCAUAAGUGCCAAGUGUGUGUGCCAAUAGGAUUAUAAUCCGACCUUAUCAUCGAAGGAACAAAAUACGAGCAAAAGGUUGGUGAUAAUGUGAUCAGUGAUACAUAACGGCAUGGUGGUGCAUUUUUUAAGUAAAUCAUUUUUAAAACGUGACGAUAUUUCUAUUUGAUGUGAUCAGUUGGAGAUUCUUUCUGUGGUGUUCUCUCGUUUUGGGGAUGAAUUGUUUUCUUUCUUCUCGAGAAUCAGGCUGUUGAUAAUUACGAGCUGUUCGAUGUUGUUUUAAUGGAAGAGACUUUCUUUGCGAUGUAGUUUAAUGAGCAUUAUGUUCAAAAGGGGUAAAAAGUGGGUCGAAUCGCUGAUGGAUGACUGUAUCAUGUAACUGAUAUGGUCUGAAGCUUAUUUUGAAUUAGGGUUUCAUGGAUUUUAAUAUUUGAAUGUUGUUCAAAACUAUAUCUUUUACAUGUAAGGAGGAACUUGUACUGUACUCGUUAACUGUUCGGUAGGAGUUUGUACUGUUCUCGUUAAUUGUGCUAUAGAAACUUCUACUGUACUUGCUAAAUGUACUUCAGAACCAUACUUGAUAAUUGUGGUAUAGAAAUUGUCUUCUAGUACAAAUCCGACUUGUUAUUAAUUGUACUUGUUAUGAAAAUUAUACCAUUCUUCAUAACUGCGUGACUGGACUUAUACUAUACUUGUUAACUGCACUUCAAAAAUUGUACCAUUCUUGUUAAUUGUGUUAUAGGAAUUGUCUUCUGGUACAAAUCUGAUGACUUCUUAUUAAUUGUACUAUAAAAAUUAUACUGUUCUUCUUAACUGUGUUAUAAGACUUAUAUUGCACUUGCUAACUGCACUUAAAAAAUUGUAACAUUCUUAUUAUAAUAUAGGAACUAUUUUCCUUUGGAAGACUUGUAAACAUUGAACUCAUUGUACUUGUUGUACAAGUUUGCAAUUGUACUACAAAAAUUGUACCAUACUUGCUAACUGUGCUAUGAGUCUAGUACUGUACUUGCUAACUGCAUUUUCAAAGUUGCACCAUUCUUGUUAAUUGUGUUAUAGGACCUAUUCUCCUCUGGUACAAAUGUGAAGACUUGUAAUCAUUGAACUCAUUCUACUCAUUAUACAAGUCUAUAAUCGUCCUACAAAAAUUGUACCAUACUUGCUAACUGUGCUAUAAGUCUUGUACUACACUUGCUAACUGCACUUCAAAAAUUGUACCAUUCUUUUUAAUUGUGAUAUAGGAACUGCCCUCCUCUGCAAGACUUGUAAUCACUAAACUUAUUGCAUUGGUAUACAAUCAUCCUAUAAAAAUUGUACCAUACUUGGUAACUAUGCUAUAAGUCUUGCACUGUACUUGCUAACUGCACUUCAAAAAUUGUACCAUACUUGUCAAUCGUAUUAUAUAAAUACUCUUCUACUACAACUACAAAGAUUAAUUAUACAAUACUCGUUAAUCAUCCUAUAAAAAGUGUCCACAAGUGUCUUCAGAUACAAAACAUGAACACCUUUAACUCUCCUCAGUACUCUGCAUAAAACGAACUCGUCAUUGCUCCAUACACAUACAGUCAUAAAAUAGAAAACUACAUAAAAAAUCUGAAAAGUUUUUGGGGAAGAUGCUCCAGACGGAUGUGUUCGUUACAUCGUAACUUCCUUCUUGUCCCCACUCAGGUUCCUCUGAAUACACGUUGAGAAGGCAAAAGGGUAUGUGGGGUAGCGAGUCAGUGUGUCAGCGUUCUCACGUCUCUCUUCGAGGCGUCCUUCCUUCUCCGGUUCUAUGUCGAGAAUAAGGCCGCGUGUAGGCAGAGAAAGAUCCUCCAACGAACUCUUCGCAACGGAGACAGACACACUGCUCGAUACGUGCCGACAAAAAGGACGGAUUCAUUCUGAAUUUCACCAGAACGAUUCUCCACAUCUAUCCCGUCUAUGCAAGAUGAGUCUCCUGAUAAAUGGCCGAUGAUUUAGAACCAUAAUCGAGUUCAAUGGUCGACUUCCGAGUCAUAGAAACACUUAUUCUUCUUCACAUCUCUUUUCCUCUUUUUUUUGAAAAUUUACU
This is a long non-coding RNA of Megachile rotundata (alfalfa leafcutting bee), 2735 nucleotides long. Lineage: Eukaryota; Metazoa; Arthropoda; Insecta; Hymenoptera; Megachilidae. The record is from RefSeq and is a predicted model, not a curated record.